CGCGUAGGCGGUUUGUUAAGUCAGAUGUGAAAGCCCGGGGCUCAACCCCGGAAGUGCAUUUGAUACUGGCAGACUUGAGUAUGGGAGAGGGAAGUGGAAUUCCUGGUGUAGAGGUGAAAUUCGUAGAUAUCAGGAGGAACACCGGUGGCGAAGGCGACUUCCUGGACCAAUACUGACGCUGAGGCGCGAAGGCGUGGGGAGCAAACA
RNAcentral lists this ribosomal RNA (207 nucleotides) under uncultured bacterium. RNAcentral's name for it is "partial 16S ribosomal RNA". It matches the Rfam family "Bacterial small subunit ribosomal RNA", at positions 568 to 774 of the family's 1533-position model. The record is from RNAcentral.